GUUGGUGAACCAGCGGAGGGAUCAUUAGAGGAAUACCCAAAACCUCCCAACCCCUGUGAACUUACCACUGUUUCCUCGGCGUGCGCACCUGGAUGCCCGCGGGAGAUGCGGACUUACCCUGUAGCUACCCUGUAGCUACCCUGUAAGGCCGGAUCUUCAGCACACGGCGCCGCUCAAGGUCCCGCCGAAGUACCCUGAACUCUGUUUUACGUGGAAUUCUGAAUGCUUCAACUAAAUAAGUUAAAACUUU
Molecule: unclassified non-coding RNA, 250 nt
Filed under: plant metagenome
Description: partial contains small subunit ribosomal RNA, internal transcribed spacer 1, and 5.8S ribosomal RNA
Source: RNAcentral